RNAcentral lists this non-coding RNA (50 nucleotides) under Trichobilharzia regenti. The record is from RNAcentral. Lineage: Eukaryota; Metazoa; Platyhelminthes; Trematoda; Strigeidida; Schistosomatidae.
GUACUGCUGAAGAGUCCCAAACUAGGACGAAACGGUUGGCUGUCCUGUAU